Molecule: ribosomal RNA, 253 nt
Filed under: uncultured bacterium
Lineage: Bacteria
Description: partial 16S ribosomal RNA
Rfam family: Bacterial small subunit ribosomal RNA
Source: RNAcentral
UACGGAGGGCGCGAGCGUUACCCGGAUUUACUGGGCGUAAAGGGCGUGUAGGCGGCUUGGGGCGUCCCAUGUGAAAGGCCACGGCUCAACCGUGGAGGAGCGUGGGAUACGCUCAGGCUAGACGGUGGGAGAGGGUGGUGGAAGUCCCGGAGUAGCGGUGAAAUGCGCAGAUACCGGGAGGAACGCCGAUGGCGAAGGCAGCCACCUGGAUCACUGGUGACGCUGAGGCGCGAAAGCGUGGGGAGCAAACCGG